AAACUUUCAACAAUGGAUCUCUUGGUUCCGGCAUCGAUGAAGAACGCAGCGAAAUGUGAUAAGUAAUGUGAAUUGCAGAAUUCCGCGAAUCAUCGAAUCUUUGAACGCAUAUUGCGCUCUCCGGGAGUCCAGAGAGCAUGCCUGUCCGAGCGUCAGU
RNAcentral lists this ribosomal RNA (157 nucleotides) under uncultured Emericella. RNAcentral describes it as "5.8S ribosomal RNA". It matches the Rfam family "5.8S ribosomal RNA". Rfam says of the family: 5.8S ribosomal RNA (5.8S rRNA) is a component of the large subunit of the eukaryotic ribosome. It is transcribed by RNA polymerase I as part of the 45S precursor that also contains 18S and 28S rRNA. The record is from RNAcentral. Lineage: Eukaryota; Fungi; Ascomycota; Eurotiomycetes; Eurotiales; Aspergillaceae.